GAUGAACGCUGGCGGCGUGCCUAAUACAUGCAAGUCGAGCGAACGGACGAGAAGCUUGCUUCUCUGAUGUUAGCGGCGGACGGGUGAGUAACACGUGGAUAACCUACCUAUAAGACUGGGAUAACUUCGGGAAACCGUAGCUAAUACCGGAUAAUAUUUUGAACCGCAUGGUUCAAAAGUGAAAGACGGUCUUGCUGUCACUUAUAGAUGGAUCCGCGCUGCAUUAGCUAGUUGGUAAGGUAACGGCUUACCAAGGCAACGAUGCAUAGCCGACCUGAGAGGGGGAUCGGCCACACGGGAACUGAGACGCGGUCCAGACUCCUACGGGAGGCAGCAGUAGGGAAUCUUCGGCAAUGGGCGAAAGCCUGACGGAGCAACGCCGCGUGAGUGAUGAAGGUCUUCGGAUCGUAAAACUCUGUUAUUAGGGAAGAACAUAUGUGUAAGUAACUGUGCACAUCGUGACGGUACCUAAUCAGAAAGCCACGGCUAACUACGUG
RNAcentral lists this ribosomal RNA (497 nucleotides) under uncultured bacterium. RNAcentral describes it as "partial 16S ribosomal RNA". It matches the Rfam family "Bacterial small subunit ribosomal RNA", at positions 28 to 507 of the family's 1533-position model. The record is from RNAcentral.